This 1467-nucleotide ribosomal RNA is filed under the name Triticum aestivum (bread wheat). RNAcentral describes it as "partial small subunit ribosomal RNA". Lineage: Eukaryota; Viridiplantae; Streptophyta; Magnoliopsida; Poales; Poaceae. The record is from RNAcentral.
AUGGCCGCUUCCCGCCGCCUGGCGCGGAAGCUCCCCUCCAUCAUCUCCAAGCACCAGCGCCUCAUCUCGCCGGAGAUCGAAACCCUAGAGGAGACCCCCGAAAUCUCCACCUCGCCCGCCUCCAUCCCCCUCGACCCCUCCCUGCCGCUACUCCCGCUCGCCGUCUCCCACCUCUCGCCGCCGAGCCCCCUCCCGGCUCUCCCCUCGGCGCACGCCUCCUCCCCGGAGGCGCUCCUCCGCCUCCUGCGCCGCGCGCGGCACCACCCGCGCCUGGCGCCGCUCGACCUCCACCUCCUCCUCGCGGCCGCCGACUCCUCCUCGGCCUUCCGCCCCGACCACCGGCUCACGAGCCUCCUCGCCGCGCGCCUCCCCUCGCUGCGGCGCCUCCUCCAGCUCGUCCUCUCGCGCCCCUGCCCCUGCGCCGACGACUCCAUCUUCGCAUGCCCCGACCUCCUCCCGACCUUCCGCAAGGCCAUCCUCGCCUUCGCCACCUCCGGCGACAUCCCCGCGGCUUCCGAAGCCCUCGCGUCCCUCCGGCGCGCCGCGGACUCGCCCCUCCCCGCCGAGUUCUACAACAUCAUCCUCCACGCCCUCGCCCGUGUCCACCGCCAUGACGACGCCAUCCGCUUCUACAGCGAGAUGACCAGCGUCCACAGCGUCGCACCGGAUGCCUACACCUUCAACAUACUCAUCAACAGUUCCUGCCGCGUCGAAGGCGUCGAUGCCGCCAUGCGGUGGUUUGAGGAGAUGCGGCGCCGGAGCUGUGCGCCGACUGGUGUGAGCUUCAAUACUCUUAUGCGCGGGUUCUUCAGAGAAGGAAGGCACAAGGAAGGUCUUAAGGUUGCUCAUGAGAUGCUGCAGCUUGGGGUCGGGCUGUCCGUUGCUUCCAUGGAGAUUUUGAUCGGUGGGCUGUGCCGUGGAGGCGAGGCUUCGAAGGCAGCAGAGUUAUUUGCCGAGUUUUUGGUGGAUGCGGUGGCGCAGGAAGGGUUUGAUUGCUUGGAUCUGGUUGAAUCGCUGUGCCAUGUUGGAAGGGUGGACAAAGCAGUGGAAGUGGUGGAGUUGGUAUUGGAGAGGAACAGGGCAUCCUGCUUGAGUGUCCCUGCUGGCGUAACGUUUCUGGAUUGCUUGGUGAAGGCGGGGAGGCUGGAUGAUGUGUGCCGGUUGAUGGGAAGGAUGGUUCGGGAGGGGAUUGUACCAGAUACCAUAUCUUGUAACUGUAUCUUGGAGGCACUUUGUGAAGCUGGACGGACUUCUGAUGCAAACAAGCUGAGGAUUCUGGCUAAGGAGAAGGGUUUUCAGGCUGAUGGUGUGACCUAUAGCAUGCUGGUGCAGGGGUUUGGUAGGCAGGGAAGGGUGUCGGAAGGCGAGGCUGUGUUGGAUGAAAUGCUUGAUUUAGGGUUUAUACCUAACAUUGUGGCUUACAAUAGGCUUCUUGAUAGCUUACACGUGCGGAGAUCUUUGCAAUAA